UUCGGCUAGACUUUUUUUCCACCGGAGGCGAUGCUAUUUGGGUGCAUGAACCUCGCGAUAUUGUUUCAACAAACGAUGGAUGACGUUCUAUGUUCUGGUUAUUCUCAUAAGACAAUUUAGACGCACUGCAGAGGCGUAUGGAGGUCACUGACAGUGAUGCUCGUCUAUGUUUGCUCUGUCGUUCCAAAAAGUAGCUUGAUGAGUGUCCAAAGUAACAGUGGAAGUGGUGGAAGUUUAGAGGGGACGCCAUCUUGGUCCCAGCUCUCCACGUCCCCAACACCGGGGCUGCUUUCUCAGCAACACAGUGCAGCACUGGCGAAGGCCAAGGAAGAGUGUCAGUGGCACCCCCUCCCUCCCCUCCGCCUCCCACCCUGUCUCUGCAGCCAGACUGGCAUUCAUCAUGGCUGCCUUGGAACUCUCCUCUGUACCUGAGACCUCUCUUCCCA
Alosa alosa (allis shad) is the source of this 446-nucleotide long non-coding RNA. RefSeq lists it as uncharacterized. Lineage: Eukaryota; Metazoa; Chordata; Actinopteri; Clupeiformes; Clupeidae. The record is from RefSeq and is a predicted model, not a curated record. The transcript has 3 exons.